Molecule: ribosomal RNA, 591 nt
Filed under: uncultured Bacillus sp.
Lineage: Bacteria; Bacillati; Bacillota; Bacilli; Caryophanales; Bacillaceae
Description: bacterial SSU rRNA
Rfam family: Bacterial small subunit ribosomal RNA
Source: RNAcentral
UUGCUUUUUAGUUAGCGGCGGACGGGUGAGUAACACGUGGGCAACCUGCCUGUAAGACUGGGAUAACUUCGGGAAACCGGAGCUAAUACCGGAUAACUCUUUCCUACUCAUGUAGGAAAGCUGAAAGACGGCAUCUCGCUGUCACUUACAGAUGGGCCCGCGGCGCAUUAGCUAGUUGGUGAGGUAACGGCUCACCAAGGCGACGAUGCGUAGCCGACCUGAGAGGGUGAUCGGCCACACUGGGACUGAGACACGGCCCAGACUCCUACGGGAGGCAGCAGUAGGGAAUCUUCCGCAAUGGACGAAAGUCUGACGGAGCAACGCCGCGUGAGUGAUGAAGGUUUUCGGAUCGUAAAACUCUGUUGUUAGGGAAGAACAAGUACGAGAGUAACUGCUCGUACCUUGACGGUACCUAACCAGAAAGCCACGGCUAACUACGUGCCAGCAGCCGCGGUAAUACGUAGGUGGCAAGCGUUGUCCGGAAUUAUUGGGCGUAAAGCGCGCGCAGGCGGUCCUUUAAGUCUGAUGUGAAAGCCCACGGCUCAACCGUGGAGGGUCAUUGGAAACUGGGGGACUUGAGUGCAGAAGAGG